ACGGAGGGUGCAAGCGUUAUCCGGAUUUACUGGGUUUAAAGGGUGCGCAGGCGGCAAAGUAAGUCAGUGGUGAAAGCCCGGAGCUCAACUCCGGAACUGCCAUUGAUACUGCUUAGCUUGAGUACGGUUGAAGUGGGCGGAAUGUGACAUGUAGCGGUGAAAUGCUUAGAUAUGUCACAGAACACCAAUUGCGAAGGCAGCUCACUAAACCGUCACUGACGCUGAGGCACGAAAGCGUGGGUAGCGAACAGG
RNAcentral lists this ribosomal RNA (252 nucleotides) under uncultured bacterium. Its description in RNAcentral is "partial 16S ribosomal RNA". It matches the Rfam family "Bacterial small subunit ribosomal RNA", at positions 525 to 776 of the family's 1533-position model. The record is from RNAcentral.